This 559-nucleotide long non-coding RNA is filed under the name Gouania willdenowi (blunt-snouted clingfish). RNAcentral describes it as "lncRNA (ENSGWIG00000003784.1)". Lineage: Eukaryota; Metazoa; Chordata; Actinopteri; Blenniiformes; Gobiesocidae. The record is from RNAcentral.
GUUGUGUCACAAGCUGGAAACCAGCGUUGGGUCGUUACUCAUCUUCUUCUUCUUCUGAGCACACAAUGAAAACUUCCUUUUCCAUGGACUUAAUUCUCUCUUCGGGAAGUUUGUUAGGGAUCUGCUUGGAUGUUACCUGAAAGAAACAAUUUGGCCUCAGACGGACUGAUUGUCAGGAGGACGAGCUUUUUCUGUCCUACACCUCCACAGCUCGUCCCUCCUCCUCCUCCUCUUCUUCCACCACGGCUGAUCUUCCUCCAUCAUGGCAUCCAAACUGAACCCAAACGUCCUGUACGUGGGGGGGCCCGGGCGAGUCUCUAGGCUCGCCCCAAGCCGACUCGGAGCAGACUCAGAUUGCUGGAGAAGCAGGAGAAGAAUCAUCAGACAGUGACGGAGAACAAGAAGAGACGUCGCACAAGCUGAUACGGAAGGUGUCAACCUCCGGACAGAUCAGGGCAAAGGUAAGAGCGACAGUGGAGUGAUGUCUGAUCUCUGUGUUUGAGAAUAGUCUUUAAUAGAUGGGAAUGAUGGAUGCUGUAUGUUGGAGAUGUUGAAAUAA